RNAcentral lists this ribosomal RNA (1529 nucleotides) under Lactiplantibacillus plantarum. Its description in RNAcentral is "Lactobacillus plantarum 16S ribosomal RNA". It matches the Rfam family "Bacterial small subunit ribosomal RNA". The record is from RNAcentral. Lineage: Bacteria; Bacillati; Bacillota; Bacilli; Lactobacillales; Lactobacillaceae.
AGAGUUUGAUCCUGGCUCAGGACGAACGCUGGCGGCGUGCCUAAUACAUGCAAGUCGAACGAACUCUGGUAUUGAUUGGUGCUUGCAUCAUGAUUUACAUUUGAGUGAGUGGCGAACUGGUGAGUAACACGUGGGAAACCUGCCCAGAAGCGGGGGAUAACACCUGGAAACAGAUGCUAAUACCGCAUAACAACUUGGACCGCAUGGUCCGAGCUUGAAAGAUGGCUUCGGCUAUCACUUUUGGAUGGUCCCGCGGCGUAUUAGCUAGAUGGUGGGGUAACGGCUCACCAUGGCAAUGAUACGAGCCGACCUGAGAGGGUAAUCGGCCACAUUGGGACUGAGACACGGCCCAAACUCCUACGGGAGGCAGCAGUAGGGAAUCUUCCACAAUGGACGAAAGUCUGAUGGAGCAACGCCGCGUGAGUGAAGAAGGGUUUCGGCUCGUAAAACUCUGUUGUUAAAGAAGAACAUAUCUGAGAGUAACUGUUCAGGUAUUGACGGUAUUUAACCAGAAAGCCACGGCUAACUACGUGCCAGCAGCCGCGGUAAUACGUAGGUGGCAAGCGUUGUCCGGAUUUAUUGGGCGUAAAGCGAGCGCAGGCGGUUUUUUAAGUCUGAUGUGAAAGCCUUCGGCUCAACCGAAGAAGUGCAUCGGAAACUGGGAAACUUGAGUGCAGAAGAGGACAGUGGAACUCCAUGUGUAGCGGUGAAAUGCGUAGAUAUAUGGAAGAACACCAGUGGCGAAGGCGGCUGUCUGGUCUGUAACUGACGCUGAGGCUCGAAAGUAUGGGUAGCAAACAGGAUUAGAUACCCUGGUAGUCCAUACCGUAAACGAUGAAUGCUAAGUGUUGGAGGGUUUCCGCCCUUCAGUGCUGCAGCUAACGCAUUAAGCAUUCCGCCUGGGGAGUACGGCCGCAAGGCUGAAACUCAAAGGAAUUGACGGGGGCCCGCACAAGCGGUGGAGCAUGUGGUUUAAUUCGAAGCUACGCGAAGAACCUUACCAGGUCUUGACAUACUAUGCAAAUCUAAGAGAUUAGACGUUCCCUUCGGGGACAUGGAUACAGGUGGUGCAUGGUUGUCGUCAGCUCGUGUCGUGAGAUGUUGGGUUAAGUCCCGCAACGAGCGCAACCCUUAUUAUCAGUUGCCAGCAUUAAGUUGGGCACUCUGGUGAGACUGCCGGUGACAAACCGGAGGAAGGUGGGGAUGACGUCAAAUCAUCAUGCCCCUUAUGACCUGGGCUACACACGUGCUACAAUGGAUGGUACAACGAGUUGCUGAACUCGCAGAGAGUAAGCUAAUCUCUUAAAGCCAUUCUCAGUUCGGAUUGUAGGCUGCAACUCGCCUACAUGAAGUCGGAAUCGUUUGUAAUCGCGGAUCAGCAUGCCGCGGUGAAUACGUUCCCGGGCCUUGUACACACCGCCCGUCACACCAUGAGAGUUUGUAACACCCAAAGUCGGUGGGGUAACCUUUUAGGAACCAGCCGCCUAAGGUGGGACAGAUGAUUAGGGUGAAGUCGUAACAAGGUAACC